This 67-nucleotide transfer RNA is filed under the name Mellinus arvensis (field digger wasp). RNAcentral describes it as "tRNA-Gly". Lineage: Eukaryota; Metazoa; Arthropoda; Insecta; Hymenoptera; Crabronidae. The record is from RNAcentral.
AUUUAUAUAGUAUAAUUAAUUAUAGUUAAUUUCCAAUUAAAAGAUUUAAUUGAGUUUAAUAUAGAUA